RNAcentral lists this long non-coding RNA (497 nucleotides) under Ananas comosus (pineapple). RNAcentral's name for it is "long non-coding RNA (ACOM_LNC003098)". Lineage: Eukaryota; Viridiplantae; Streptophyta; Magnoliopsida; Poales; Bromeliaceae. The record is from RNAcentral.
AUUAUUUGUAAAUAGUAAAAAAUUUUUGCCAAAUAUGACAAAGGGUAAUUUUGGAAUCGAUUAUCCUUUAUUGUUCGGAUUACUUAAUUUUAUAAACUGAACCAAAUAUAUUAAUAAUAAGUGUAGAGCUACUAUGCUAUCGGAAGUAUAAGUGAAUUGGUGCUUUCGAUUUUUUAGCGCUUAGAUCAAAAAUUGUAUGGUUAAGAUGAUAGUAUUUCCUUUAGGAUUGAGUGGUCUCUCUAGGAUUAAGUGGUCCCCAUUGGGUAAUAAUAUUAAUCUAAUGGUUAACAAUGAUCAAAAGGUUGAUCCAAGGGCUAAAAAAUCAGAAGCAACAACUAUCUUAUGCUUCCGGUAGCAUAAUAGCUCUAAAGUAAUAAUAAUACUAUAUACUCUGUAAUCUGGUAUUAUAUUAUUAUAUUAAAUUAAAUACAAUAAUACAGCAUUAGCAGUAAUCUUAUUCAGAAAUUUAAAACAUCUGUCGAAAUAAACUGUAUGGG